RNAcentral lists this ribosomal RNA (461 nucleotides) under uncultured bacterium. Its description in RNAcentral is "partial 16S ribosomal RNA". It matches the Rfam family "Bacterial small subunit ribosomal RNA", at positions 338 to 795 of the family's 1533-position model. The record is from RNAcentral.
CCUACGGGGUGCAGCAGUGAGGAAUAUUGGUCAAUGGACGCAAGUCUGAACCAGCCAUGCCGCGUGCAGGAAGACGGCUCUAUGAGUUGUAAACUGCUUUUGUACGAGGGUAAACGCCGAUACGCGUAUCUCUCUGAAAGUAUCGUACGAAUAAGGAUCGGCUAACUCCGUGCCAGCAGCCGCGGUAAUACGGAGGAUUCAAGCGUUAUCCGGAUUUAUUGGGUUUAAAGGGUGCGUAGGCGGUCGGAUAAGUUAGAGGUGAAAUCCCGAGGCUCAACUGGGUGAAGUGCCAUUGAUACUGCCGUGCUGGAAUGCGGAUGCCGUGGGAGGAAUGUGUGGUGUAGCGGUGAAAUGCAUAGAUAUCACACAGAACACCGAUUGCGAAGGCAUCUUACGAAGCCGCGAUUGACGCUGAUGCACGAAAGCGUGGGUAUCAAACAGGAUUAGAUACCCGGGUAGUC